RNAcentral lists this ribosomal RNA (245 nucleotides) under uncultured bacterium. Its description in RNAcentral is "partial 16S ribosomal RNA". It matches the Rfam family "Bacterial small subunit ribosomal RNA", at positions 528 to 772 of the family's 1533-position model. The record is from RNAcentral.
UAGGUGGCGAGCGUUAUCCGGAAUUACUGGGUGUAAAGGGUGUGUAGGCGGGGAGACAAGUCAGACGUGAAAGGCAGGGGCUUAACCUCUGCACUGCGUUUGAAACUGUUUUUCUUGAGUGUCGGAGAGGUAAAUGGAAUUCCCAGUGUAGCGGUGAAAUGCGUAGAUAUUGGGAGGAACACCAGUGGCGAAGGCGGUUUACUGGACGACAACUGACGCUGAGACACGAAAGCGUGGGGAGCAAA